ACGGUGUUCCGCUGCAAAGGCAAUUUGUGCAUGAGCAUCUG
Regulatory RNA element from Bhargavaea cecembensis DSE10, 41 nucleotides. It matches the Rfam family "Ribosomal protein L19 leader". From Rfam's summary of the family: This family is a putative r-protein leader autoregulatory structure found in B. subtilis and other low-GC Gram-positive bacteria. It is located in the 5' untranslated regions of mRNAs encoding ribosomal protein L19 (rplS). The record is from Rfam. Lineage: Bacteria; Bacillati; Bacillota; Bacilli; Caryophanales; Caryophanaceae.